UCUAUGGAGAAUUGAUGAACGCUGUUCAUCAAUAUAAGUUUCCGUGUUUCGUUUUGUUCAGUUUUGAGAGAACUAUCUCUCAUAUAUAAAUGUAUGUUCUUUGAAAACUAGAUAACAGUGUAGCUCAUAUUCUUUAAUUUUUAGUUU
RNAcentral lists this unclassified non-coding RNA (147 nucleotides) under cotton phyllosphere bacterium B. RNAcentral describes it as "16S-23S ribosomal RNA intergenic spacer". The record is from RNAcentral.